CAAGGUUAAAACUCAAAUGAAUUGACGGGGGCCCGCACAAGCGGUGGAGCAUGUGGUUUAAUUCGAUGCAACGCGAAGAACCUUACCUACUCUUGACAUCCACGGAAUUUGGCAGAGAUGCCUUAGUGCCUUCGGGAACCGUGAGACAGGUGCUGCAUGGCUGUCGUCAGCUCGUGUUGUGAAAUGUUGGGUUAAGUCCCGCAACGAGCGCAACCCUUAUCCUUUGUUGCCAGCGAUUCGGUCGGGAACUCAAAGGAGACUGCCGGUGAUAAACCGGAGGAAGGUGGGGAUGACGUCAAGUCAUCAUGGCCCUUACGAGUAGGGCUACACACGUGCUACAAUGGCGCAUACAAAGAGAAGCGACCUCGCGAGAGCAAGCGGACCUCACAAAGUGCGUCGUAGUCCGGAUCGGAGUCUGCAACUCGACUCCGUGAAGUCGGAAUCGCUAGUAAUCGUGGAUCAGAAUGCCACGGUGAAUACGUUCCCGGGCCUUGUACACACCGCCCGUCACACCAUGGGAGUGGG
RNAcentral lists this ribosomal RNA (525 nucleotides) under Pantoea sp. RNAcentral describes it as "bacterial SSU rRNA". It matches the Rfam family "Bacterial small subunit ribosomal RNA", at positions 889 to 1414 of the family's 1533-position model. The record is from RNAcentral. Lineage: Bacteria; Pseudomonadati; Pseudomonadota; Gammaproteobacteria; Enterobacterales; Erwiniaceae.